This is a small nuclear RNA of Rana temporaria (common frog), 107 nucleotides long. Lineage: Eukaryota; Metazoa; Chordata; Amphibia; Anura; Ranidae. The record is from RefSeq and is a predicted model, not a curated record.
AUCCUUGAUUCGGCAGGACAUAUACUAAAAUUGGAAUGAUACAGAGAAGAUUAGUAUGGCUCCCGAGCAAGGAUGACAUGCAAAUUUGUGAAGCGUUCCAAUUUAAU